UGCGCAGGCGGCGCGUUAAGACAGGUGUGAAAGCCCCGAGCUUAACUUGGGAAUUGCGCUUGUGACUGGCGUGCUGGAGUGUGGCAGAGGGAGGUGGAAUUCCACGUGUAGCAGUGAAAUGCGUAGAGAUGUGGAGGAACACCGAUGGCGAAGGCAGCCUCCUGGGCCAGCACUGACGCUCAUGCACGAAAGCGUGGGGAGCAAACAGGAUUAGAUACCCCUGGUAGUCCACGCCCUAAACGAUGUCAACUGGUUGUUGGUGGGGUUAAACCCAUUAGUAACGAAGCUAACGCGUGAAGUUGACCGCCUGGGGAGUACGGCCGCAAGGUUAAA
RNAcentral lists this ribosomal RNA (333 nucleotides) under uncultured Thiobacter sp. RNAcentral's name for it is "bacterial SSU rRNA". It matches the Rfam family "Bacterial small subunit ribosomal RNA", at positions 568 to 898 of the family's 1533-position model. Lineage: Bacteria; Pseudomonadati; Pseudomonadota; Betaproteobacteria; Burkholderiales; Thiobacteraceae. The record is from RNAcentral.